RNAcentral lists this ribosomal RNA (449 nucleotides) under uncultured bacterium. Its description in RNAcentral is "partial 16S ribosomal RNA". It matches the Rfam family "Bacterial small subunit ribosomal RNA", at positions 29 to 523 of the family's 1533-position model. The record is from RNAcentral.
AGCGAACGCUGGCGGCAGGCCUAACACAUGCAAGUCGAACGGAUCCUUCGGGAUUAGUGGCGGACGGGUGAGUAACACGUGGGAACGUGCCCUUUGGUUCGGAACAACUCAGGGAAACUUGAGCUAAUACCGGAUGUGCCCUUCGGGGGAAAGAUUUAUCGCCAUUGGAGCGGCCCGCGUCUGAUUAGCUAGUUGGUGAGGUAAAGGCUCACCAAGGCGACGAUCAGUAGCUGGUCUGAGAGGAUGAUCAGCCACAUUGGGACUGAGACACGGCCCAAACUCCUAUGGGAGGCAGCAGUGGGGAAUUUUGCGCAAUGGGCGAAAGCCUGACGCAGCCAUGCCGCGUGAAUGAUGAAGGUCUUAGGAUUGUAAAAUUCUUUCACCGGGGACGAUAAUGACGGUACCCGGAGAAGAAGCCCCGGCUAACUUCGUGCCAGCCGCCGCCGUAA